This is a long non-coding RNA of Passer domesticus (house sparrow), 506 nucleotides long. RefSeq lists it as uncharacterized. The record is from RefSeq and is a predicted model, not a curated record. The transcript is spliced from 3 exons. Lineage: Eukaryota; Metazoa; Chordata; Aves; Passeriformes; Passeridae.
CAGAUUUGUCACUGCUGCAGGCAGCUGACUUCCCUGAUGGGAGACAGGAAGCUGCUAAUGGGGAAACACCUUUCUCUCUGUUGGUUCAUUUUUCAUCAAGAGGAUAUUUCCUAGGAUAGGAAACUCUCAAAGGAAGGACAGUCUGCAGAACAAGAAGAAUAGUGUAUAUUUUCUCAUCCUCCCAACAAAGAAGAGAGUACCAGCAGAUCUGAGGACAAAGAGGAUGAAGAGGGACCUGGAGACCUGUCCAUGGAGUUGUCAUUGAAAGCCUCAGUCAUGAAAAGACUAUGGUACUGUAUUUUGAGGUACAAUAAAAUCUAUUUGGUAACUACACAGCAUUAAAAUUAGGGGUUUUUUUAAAGAGCAUAUCUGUCCCAAAUUUUUCUUCAUGCAUGCAUACAUCACAAAAAAACCUUUUAAGCCAGACAAUAAUUAGAAAAAGCCCUCCAGAAAGCAUGAUCAACCUGUAUUUGUGGAACUAAACACUUUCUCAUCCUACUUGCUCA